RNAcentral lists this ribosomal RNA (460 nucleotides) under uncultured bacterium. RNAcentral describes it as "partial 16S ribosomal RNA". It matches the Rfam family "Bacterial small subunit ribosomal RNA", at positions 338 to 795 of the family's 1533-position model. The record is from RNAcentral.
CCUACGGGGGGCUGCAGUGAGGAAUAUUGGUCAAUGGACGUAAGUCUGAACCAGCCAUGCCGCGUGCAGGAAGACGGCUCUAUGAGUUGUAAACCGCUUUUGUACGAGGGUAAACUCCGAUACGCGUACCUUUUUGUAAGUACCUUACGAAUAAGGAUCGGCUAACUCCGUGCCAGCAGCCGCGGUAAUACGGAGGAUCCAAGCGUUAUCCGGAUUUAUUGGGUUUAAAGGGUGCGUAGGCGGUCGGUUAAGUUAGCGGUGAAAUCCCGAGGCUCAACUUCGGAAUUGCCGCUGAUACUGUUCGGCUAGAGAGUAGUUGCGGUAGGCGGAAUGUAUGGUGUAGCGGUGAAAUGCUUAGAGAUCAUACAGAACACCGAUUGCGAAGGCAGCUUACCAAGCUACGUCUGACGUUGAGGCACGAAAGCGUGGGGAGCAAACAGGAUUAGAUACCCGGGUAGUC